This 1960-nucleotide long non-coding RNA is filed under the name Nicotiana tabacum (common tobacco). RNAcentral's name for it is "long non-coding RNA (NTAB_LNC004365)". Lineage: Eukaryota; Viridiplantae; Streptophyta; Magnoliopsida; Solanales; Solanaceae. The record is from RNAcentral.
CCAACAUAAUAAUCUUGAGUAAUCCAGCACAAAUAUAACAUAGAGCAGAUCACAUCUUCAUAUCAUUGAUUCAAAAGGGAGAUUGGACACAAACACAAAUAAUUGCAUAGGAAUAGCAAAGUUUUGACCAUACGAAAAUCAAAAGGGGAGGGGAUGGAUCUAGAUUAUUGGAUCUCUAUUCAUAAAUCAUUCAACCUUGUAUGAAGCCAACAAGAUGAACUGAAGGUUCACUAUACUAACUCCAUAUCCUCUCUAUUAGUAAUUACAACAUGCUCAACUAAACUGAUUUGGACAAAAUAAUCACAUUAAAUAAAACAGACAGAUCAGAGAAGAACAAAAUGGAAUACUUUCAUGUGCUCCAAUUCUUCAUUUUUCAUUUUUCAUUCCUCAAAUUCACUUCAUAACUAAAGGAGUUACAGGGUCGUGUACCUGGAAAUGGAAAGAUACAAACUAUGGAGAAUCAGCAGUAGCAGUAGCAGAUAUCAACAACAAUAACAGCGACAAACAUAGCCCAGACUUGGUAAAUGAACCCAAGAGAUUAACCCCAAAAGACCAAUGGAUCAGCAGUUUCAACAGUUUUAUCAGAAAUUAACCAAAAGAUUUCGAUGGAACAGUACUUUUCUUAUUGAUCCUUUGGGCAGUUUUGAUCCCAGAAGCUCUAAACUCUCACUCUCACAAAAUGUCUAUCUCUCAGUUCUCCUCCCCUCUCUACUCUAUCCGUGUGUCUUCUCUUAAAGACUAGGACCAACUCCCUUUUAUUCACAUCUUUUCUCUUUCCAGCUUGUGUAUUCCCUCCUUGUGCACCCCUUCAAACUUUUAUCAUUAGCCCAUGUUCUCUAUGAUUUCCCCCACCUUUAAAAGUUUUUAAAAGGGUGUCAACUUUACUGUCAUCUUCAAUUUUUUAAUCUACCCUCUGUUCUUCUCUGAAUUCCCACCACUAAAGGUACUUAAGGGCUGCUACUUCCCACUACUGAUCCUUCUUUUCAAUUUCUAAUUAAACCUCUAAAGAUGUGCACAAACUGUCAUGUCCAUUACCAAUCCCUUUGUUUCUUAAUUAACUCCAACUAACCACAUUACCCUUAUGAGGACUAUUUACAUGUUAAGGUUUCAAAAUAAAUCCAAAAUAGAUGUAGAGAUUUUGAAAAUGAAUUGAGCCUGAGUCAAACAUACAAACAUUUAUAGAAUCAUGUAAACCAAAAUUCAAACAGAAAUUGCAAACAAAUUAUUGCAUUUAACUAAGCAGUAACUUGACAUGCAAUGUUCAUAUUUGUUGUACUCAGCAAAUUAAGACACAAACAGAUUGAAACUUCAUAUAAUAAAAGGGCAAGAACAUGAUAAAACCUUGAAUUUCAGCCUACGGGAAAGGGAUGAGGAGGAAGAUACAUAAAAGAAAAACAUUGAAAAACGAAGAAACACUUACCAGAAUCGAACCCUUUAUUCCGCUCCAAAGAUCUUCCUGCUCUUUUGUGAGACGGGCUCUAAUCGUAUGUUUUUGCUCGAUUGAAAACGCACGAUUACAGCCUAUUUCAACCUAAAAAUCUUGAAAUCUUAAAUAAGCAGUGUUUUUGGGGACUCAAGGUUCAACUUUUCGAUCUGAAAUUCGAAAGGCUCUACGGUGAUUCGAGGAAAACUAUCAUGGGAUUUGGGACGAGGGAAGCCUGGUGGUUCAGGGGUGUGGUUUUUGGGGUUGAUUGGAUAAGCUAGAGUUUCUUACCGAACUUCGAUUGAAGAUUCGAGGCGUUUGGCUAUGAUUCGAAGAGAGGUGUUUGGAUAUUUGGAAUGGGGAGGUUGAGGGGGAUAAGUGGUGUGAAGAUGAGGGUGAACGGAGCCAGCGCCGCCACCCUGAGGCGGUUAGGGUACGGUGGCGGCGUCUCUAGGGUUUGGUUAGAGAUGAAAGGGUUGAGGGGUUCUGAAGGGGGCGGGUUUGAUUGGACACAUAUAUACUGGGGGUGGAAUUGGA